Molecule: ribosomal RNA, 503 nt
Filed under: uncultured bacterium
Lineage: Bacteria
Description: bacterial SSU rRNA
Rfam family: Bacterial small subunit ribosomal RNA
Source: RNAcentral
CUACGUGCCAGCAGCCGCGGUAAUACGGAAGGUCCGGGCGUUAUCCGGAUUUAUUGGGUUUAAAGGGAGUGUAGGCGGUCUGUUAAGCGUGUUGUGAAAUUUAGGUGCUCAACAUUUAACUUGCAGCGCGAACUGUCAGACUUGAGUACACGCAGCGCAGGCGGAAUUCAUGGUGUAGCGGUGAAAUGCUUAGAUAUCAUGAGGAACUCCGAUCGCGAAGGCAGCCUGCGGGAGUGUUACUGACGCUUAAGCUCGAAGGUGCGGGUAUCGAACAGGAUUAGAUACCCUGGUAGUCCGCACGGUAAACGAUGGAUGCCCGCCGUUGGCGCCCUGCGCCUGCGGCCAAGCGAAAGCAUUAAGCAUCCCACCUGGGGAGUACGCCGGCAACGGUGAAACUCAAAGGAAUUGACGGGGGCCCGCACAAGCGGAGGAACAUGUGGUUUAAUUCGAUGAUACGCGAGGAACCUUACCCGGGCUUGAAUUGCAGUCGCUGCCCACAGAGA